RNAcentral lists this ribosomal RNA (446 nucleotides) under uncultured bacterium. RNAcentral describes it as "partial 16S ribosomal RNA". It matches the Rfam family "Bacterial small subunit ribosomal RNA", at positions 338 to 795 of the family's 1533-position model. The record is from RNAcentral.
CCUACGGGUGGCAGCAGUCGAGAAUCAUUCACAAUGGGGGAAACCCUGAUGGUGCGACGCCGCGUGGGGGAAUGAAGGUCUUCGGAUUGUAAACCCCUGUCAUGUGGGAGCAAAUUAAAAAGAUAGUACCACAAGAGGAAGAGACGGCUAACUCUGUGCCAGCAGCCGCGGUAAUACAGAGGUCUCAAGCGUUGUUCGGAAUCACUGGGCGUAAGGCGUGCGUAGGCUGUUUCGUAAGUCGUGUGUGAAAGGCGCGGGCUCAACCCGCGGACGGCACAUGAUACUGCGAGACUAGAGUAAUGGAGGGGGAACCGGAAUUCUCGGUGUAGCAGUGAAAUGCGUAGAUAGCGAGAGGAACACUCGUGGCGAAGGCGGGUUCCUGGACAGUAACUGGCGCUGAGGCACGAAGGCCAGGGGAGCGAAAGGGAUUAGAUACCCGGGUAGUC